UAGCUCGACUUAAUUUCCCUAUUACAUCUAACAAAUUACUAAAUUUAAGAGCUAUUCAAAUAAGGUACAGCUUAUUUGAAACGGGAUACAACCCCCGACACCGGGUUAAUCUAGAGAUAAUAAAUAAAGUGGGCCUAAAAGCAGCCAUCUUCCAAAAAGCGUUAAAGCUUCAUAUAUUUCAUCUUUAAUUCCGUAAUUUUUACUUAACCCUUCAUUGCUACUGAACUAUUUUAUACCCCUAUAAAAGUUAUCAUGCUAGAACUAGUAACAAGAAAUAGCCUUUCUCCUAAAUGUAUGUUUGAACCAAAAUGGACACUCCACUGGUAAUUAACGUAAAUGUAAAUAUCAUAGUAUACACAGCUAGAAAACCCUAUGUUUGCUAACGUCAACCUUACACUAGAACAUUACAGGAAAGAUUAAAAGAGAAAGAAGGAACUCGGCAAAUCACAGUCCCGCCUGUUUACCAAAAACAUCGCCUCUUGACUAAACAUAAGAGGUCCAGCCUGCCCAGUGACAUAGUUUAACGGCCGCGGUACCCUAACCGUGCGAAGGUAGCAUAAUCACUUGUUCUUUAAAUAGGGACUUGUAUCAACGGCAUCACGAGGGCUGUACUGUCUCCUUUCUCCAAUCAGUGAAACUGAUCUCCCCGUGAAGAAGCGGGGAUGAAUCUAUAAGACGAGAAGACCCCAUGGAGCUUAAACCCAUCAUUCACCUCUGUAUAUUUAAAUCAACAUAACCCAAAAGGCUGUAUGCUGGUUUUAGGUUGGGGAGACCGCGGAGUAAAAUUAAACCUCCACGACAGACGGGCUAACACCCUUAUCUACGAACCACAAUUCUAAGAACCAAUAAAUUGUUGUCUAGUGACCCAAUAUUUGAUCAACGAACUAAGUUACCCUGGGGAUAACAGCGCAAUCUACUUCAAGAGCUCCUAUCGACAAGUGGGUUUACGACCUCGAUGUUGGAUCAGGGUGUCCUAGUGGUGCAGCCGCUACUAAAGGUUCGUUUGUUCAACGAUUAAAACCCUACG
Molecule: ribosomal RNA, 1027 nt
Filed under: Amolops chunganensis (Chungan torrent frog)
Lineage: Eukaryota; Metazoa; Chordata; Amphibia; Anura; Ranidae
Description: partial 16S ribosomal RNA
Rfam family: Bacterial large subunit ribosomal RNA
Source: RNAcentral